GGGCCAGAAGGUUGGUCGUGCCACCGGUACGUACUGGUCUCACUGAUUCCUCCUUCCUGAAGAACCGUAAUGCCAUUAAUUUGGUGUUGCGGGGAAACAGGACUGUUACUUUGAAAAAAUUAGAGUGUUUAAAGCAAGCUAACGCUUGAAUACAUUAGCAUGGAAUAAUGAAAUAGGACGAUCGAUCCUAUUUUGUUGGUUUCUAGGAUUGACGUA
This 216-nucleotide ribosomal RNA is filed under the name Glomeromycotina sp. RNAcentral's name for it is "partial small subunit ribosomal RNA". The stretch from base 40 to 216 matches the Rfam family "Eukaryotic small subunit ribosomal RNA", at positions 686 to 864 of the family's 1831-position model. Lineage: Eukaryota; Fungi; Glomeromycota. The record is from RNAcentral.